CCACACUGGGACUGAGACACGGCCCAGACUCCUACGGGAGGCAGCAGUAGGGAAUCUUCGGCAAUGGACGAAAGUCUGACCGAGCAACGCCGCGUGAGUGAAGAAGGUUUUCGGAUCUUAAAGCUCUGUUGUAAGUCAAGAACGUGUGUGAGAGUGGAAAGUUCACACAGUCACGGUAGCUUUCCAGAAAGGAACGGCUAACUACGUGCCAGCAGCCGCGGUAAUACGUAGGUCCCGAGCGUUGUCCGGAUUUAUUGGGCGUAAAGGGAGCGCAGGCGGUCAGGAAAGUCUGGAGUAAAAGGCUAUGGCUCAACCAUAGUGUGCUCUGGAAACUGUCUGACUUGAGUGCAGAAGGGGAGAGUGGAAUUCCAUGUGUAGCGGUGAAAUGCGUAGAUAUAUGGAGGAACACCAGUGGCGAAAGCGGCUCUCUGGUCUGUCACUGACGCUGAGGCUCGAAAGCGUGGGUAGCGAACAGGAUUAGAUACCCUGGUAGUCCACGCCGUAAAC
This 507-nucleotide ribosomal RNA is filed under the name Streptococcus mutans. Its description in RNAcentral is "bacterial SSU rRNA". It matches the Rfam family "Bacterial small subunit ribosomal RNA", at positions 308 to 807 of the family's 1533-position model. The record is from RNAcentral. Lineage: Bacteria; Bacillati; Bacillota; Bacilli; Lactobacillales; Streptococcaceae.